This 458-nucleotide ribosomal RNA is filed under the name uncultured Thiobacillus sp. RNAcentral describes it as "bacterial SSU rRNA". It matches the Rfam family "Bacterial small subunit ribosomal RNA", at positions 919 to 1382 of the family's 1533-position model. The record is from RNAcentral. Lineage: Bacteria; Pseudomonadati; Pseudomonadota; Betaproteobacteria; Nitrosomonadales; Thiobacillaceae.
ACCCGCACAAGCGGUGGAUGAUGUGGAUUAAUUCGAUGCAACGCGAAAACCUUACUUACCCUUGACAUGUCCGGAAUCCCGAAGAGAUUUGGGAGUGCUCGCAAGAGAACCGGAACACAGGUGCUGCAUGGCUGUCGUCAGCUCGUGUCGUGAGAUGUUGGGUUAAGUCCCGCAACGAGCGCAACCCUUAUCAUUAGUUGCUACGCAAGGGCACUCUAAUGAGACUGCCGGUGACAAACCGGAGGAAGGUGGGGAUGACGUCAAGUCCUCAUGGCCCUUAUGGGUAGGGCUUCACACGUCAUACAAUGGUCGGUACAGAGGGUUGCCAAGCCGCGAGGCGGAGCCAAUCCCACAAAGCCGAUCGUAGUCCGGAUUGUUCUCUGCAACUCGAGAGCAUGAAGUCGGAAUCGCUAGUAAUCGCAGGUCAGCAUACUGCGGUGAAUACGUUCCCGGGUCUU